AGUGAACGCUGGCGGUAGGCCUAACACAUGCAAGUCGAACGGCAGCACAGUAAGAGCUUGCUCUUACGGGUGGCGAGUGGCGGACGGGUGAGGAAUACAUCGGAAUCUACUUUUUCGUGGGGGAUAACGUAGGGAAACUUACGCUAAUACCGCAUACGACCUACGGGUGAAAGCAGGGGAUCUUCGGACCUUGCGCGAUUGAAUGAGCCGAUGUCGGAUUAGCUAGUUGGCGGGGUAAAGGCCCACCCAGGCGACGAUCCGUAGCUGGUCUGAGAGGAUGAUCAGCCACACUGGAACUGAGACACGGUCCAGACUCCUACGGGAGGCAGCAGUGGGGAAUAUUGGACAAUGGGCGCAAGCCUGAUCCAGCCAUACCGCGUGGGUGAAGAAGGCCUUCGGGUUGUAAUGCCCUUUUGUUGGGAAAGAAAAGCAGCAGGUUAAUACCCCGCUGUUCCGACGGUACCCAAAGAAUAAGCACCGGCUAACUUCGUG
Molecule: ribosomal RNA, 492 nt
Filed under: uncultured bacterium
Lineage: Bacteria
Description: partial 16S ribosomal RNA
Rfam family: Bacterial small subunit ribosomal RNA
Source: RNAcentral